UCAAGACCCUUCUACAAGCAAGUUCUCACAUUUGUUGUCCAAGGAGGAGAGGAACCCAUAAAGUGCAUUGCCCCUAACUCUCAAUGCAGAAGAAUGCUGUGUUUGUAAUGGGAUCAGAAGACAUCCUAGGAGAAUAAACAAAGACACCCCCUCUUGGUCCUCCUCCAGGCAUAUGUCAUGUGUCCGGGUGUCCUAAGGUGUUCCUAUUCUGAAACCAAGGCAAAAGAACCAAAUCUCAAUUUUCAUGAUAACGCAAGAAAGGUAAGAGUUAGCAACUAUUCAGAGGGUGUGAUCCCAUGGGGAAAUAGAUCACAAUCUGGACCAGUUGUGGAGUGGUCCCAUUCGAUUUUUCUCCAGCGACCACAUGGUAUGGGAAAAUACACUCUGGCCUGAACCCCAAACUGUCCCAGUGCUGAACCUUUUUUGGCCCAGCUCUAAAGCUUCUGCUUUUUGAGGCCUCCUAGCAGACAGAAGAGUCACUUAGCUCAGGGGUUUAGGUCUCUGGCUCCAGAGCCAGAGGUUGGGAGUUCAAUUCCCCACUGUGGCUCCUUGACAUGGGCUGGACUCCAUAGGGUCCCUUCCAGCUGUGCAGUUCUAAGAUGAUGAUGAUGAUGAUUUAAGGGAGAUUGCUCAAACUGCUUCAUUCAGAGUACUUGUCUACCUCUUCCUAGGAGGCAUUAACAACCUUCUAGGUCAAGGAAAUGUGGCCUUCUAGAUAUUGUUAAAUGUGAGAGUUUUAGUCCCACAUCAUCUGGAGGGCCCCACGUUCCACUGCACUUCCUUACUUUGCCCAUCACCCCUCCAGCUGGAUGUUAGAAGCCAUGGAAUUAGGGGUUAAAGUGAUAAGUGGUCAACCACAUUCCACCGAACACCUUCUUCAUAUCCUCAGGCUGCAAGUAGAAGUGAUCCAAGCAACAUACCCUCAAAUUUUCAGCCCCACUGGGCGGGGCUCCACCUCUCUCAUGUAUGACUUCACCCCUGCAUCCACCUGCAUCUCAGCACCCCUCAUGUGCAGGAACUGGAACCACAUGUGAUUGCUGCACGGAGGAGGAAGAGAGCUGUGCAGAGGGAGGUGGAGUCGUACACACGCACGCAUGUUCCCAGUUUGGAGGGGAUCUUGGAUUCAAGAAACCAGAACCAACCUGUGCAAUAGAUACAGCAGUACAAUGCAAAAGGUUGGUAAUGAUAUACAGCAGCCUCGCUCUCCCCACCAAAAAACUUUCCACAUGAAAUGUGGUGUGCUCACCACAACUGGGACACCUGCGACAUCAUGCACAGGCUUUUGGCUGAGACACAAGAUUGUGUGAGAGAUAGCCUCAGGCACUGAAACUGCUGCUGGAGAUGCUACCCCCAGGCGUGCUGCUAUUUCUAACCCUGACAGGAAGGAUGACAGAUCGUCUGAGCACCACAAUGUAAAGACCCACACACUGUGGUAACUGCCACUCAGGACAAACGGUUGCAGAAACAAAUGUCAUGCCACAUCCUGUUGUGCUUGAAAAGGCCCUCCUUCAAGCUUGGCUCCAAGGGAGUGCAGGCAAGCAGAAUGAUUUCCUAAAGCUCUUCUCUGAAAUAUUUUUCCAUGGUGACCAUUGCUGGUAAUGUCUGGAGCUGACCAACCUUUUUACAGGCUGCUCUGAUUAUGAACUCUCCCUGUUCACUUAGAGCUGGGCCAAAUAUUGGCCAAGCGGAGAAAGCAUGGGGGAUUUCCCAGUUCCCACCUCUUCCCCAUGUUCACUCUGAUAUCUUAAAUCAAACAUUCAAAAGAAUGUUGUGACUCUCAAAGCUCUAAAUCUGAGCACUUUAGACCUGGUAUCAAGGCACUAGGAGCAGCGGGUUGUUUUGGUAGGCAUCCAGUAUGGAAGAAUGAGUCAAACUUCAGCUGGCUGACUAGCUUGGUGAGCCAGAAUACCAGAGUUUGGAAGCUGGAUUCUCCAUUGUGCCUCUGGUAAGAAAAGCCAGCCUGUGUGGUCUUGGGCAAGCUGCGCAUUCCUGAAGUACCUACAGAAUAAGGCCCUGUGUGGUCUUGGGCAAGCUGCACAUUCCUGAAUUACCUAUAGAAGAAGGUGUUGGUAAACCUUCUGAGUCCUCUAUACCUAGAAAACCCUGAGAAGGGUGACCACAAGUCAGAAUCUACUUGAUAGCACACUAUUUAUUUUUAUCAUUAUACGCACUAGAAGGUUUUAGGGUCUACUUUAUUAUUUUUACAAUAUCCCUGAGAUCCAUUCACCAAUGCUUGUACAAAAGACAUACCUUUAGAAUGUGAAUCACACAAAAACAGAACUGAACUCAUAGUCCUGCCCUAUGCACAUUUAUUCCUCUUACUCCUGGCUAUCUUCAUUUUAGCAUGGAUUCUGGAUUUCAUUGGGGAAUGAGGUGGCCGUUUUGUUACAGCUAUUCUUAAACAAUAAAGAACCCAAAAUGUUGGACGAUAUACUCCA
Pogona vitticeps (central bearded dragon) is the source of this 2438-nucleotide long non-coding RNA. The record is from Ensembl. NCBI's taxonomy places the organism in Eukaryota, Metazoa, Chordata, Lepidosauria, Squamata, Agamidae.